Molecule: ribosomal RNA, 111 nt
Filed under: Mesocricetus auratus (golden hamster)
Lineage: Eukaryota; Metazoa; Chordata; Mammalia; Rodentia; Cricetidae
Source: RNAcentral
GUCUCUGGCCAUACCUCCCUGAACUCACUCAAUCUCCUCGAAUCUGGAUAGCUAAGUAGUAUCAGGUCUGUGUAGUACUUGGAUGGGAGAGAUCAUACAGGGUGAGAGGAU